ACGGCCAUAUCACGUUAAAACACCGGUUCUCGUCCGAUCACUGAAGUUAAGCAACGUCGAGCCUGGUUAGUACCUAGAUUGAUGAUCACUUUGGAAUACCAGGUGCUGUAAG
RNAcentral lists this ribosomal RNA (112 nucleotides) under Acanthosepion pharaonis. Lineage: Eukaryota; Metazoa; Mollusca; Cephalopoda; Sepiida; Sepiidae. The record is from RNAcentral.